CCCACUGUUCUUUUACCUGUGAUACCAAACAGAAAUAACAAAUUUGUUUUAAUUAGAGUGUUGAAAACUGAUUAGAGGAAAGCAAAGUUGCAGAUUAGCUGCAAAACAAAAACAAAAGGGAAAAAAAAAUCGGUGUUAUGUAAAAUGUAUCUGUUGGAUCUGGCUCGUGUGAAAUUCAUAAAUGUCACCACUGCAGUGAGAGUUCCCAAAGUAGCAUGAAACGCAAACAAUCUGUAGGAUUUAACACCCACUGCCUCGACACUUUUUCGCUCACACAUCCCAGAGAUCGAGAAAUCGCUCUGCAAACUGUGUCACGCAUGUUCAUUUGUUCUUCAAGACAUCCAGGUAUAGGCCCCUGAAAAAAAACAAAAGAACAAAAAAAGAGGCAAAACUUUAACUUUAUUCCUUCACAUUUUCAGCUGAACUCGUAUUUAAUGGGGCUUUUAGCCUUACCAGCAGUUACCAUGGCAGCCAUAUAUUGAGUGACAGCAAAGUGGUGCGCUAUUUCAGACUGGAUGCUUCCCCUAUUAAUGUCAGUCUAUCUCAGGUCAAGUCAGAUUAUCUUUAUUAUUUAAAGUGUGAUGCCAAAAACCGUGCUAAACUUUCUAAUCUUUAUAAUCACAUGCAUAUCAUUAUCAUUUUAACAGUAAAGAGGUUUUUUUCUAUUUGUUUUCAGUGGUUAACUUUGCUUUCUUUUCCUCGUAGUCAGUGAUAUCUUCUAAUUUGACUCUUAAAUGAACAAAACGAGAGCUGUGAUAUUUAAUUAGGCUUGUGAGAUUUGAUUUCCAGUUAAAUUAAAAUGCCACUUUGUCCUUUGUGUUCGCCAGCCUCUUUACUCUGUUGCUUCAGUGCACGCUGCGAUUCGCGCGAUGCAAAAAACGGCCAAGGGGAGGAAGCGAGGAAGAGGAGACAGCGUGAGGGGAAAGAGACAGACACUGACUUCUCAAGCUCUCACUGUUCGGCUCACCACUGUCAACCUCAGUGUUUGUCUUCCAGUUCAGCCUGUGGUCGAUGUGGAUGGUCAGCUUCUUCUACCACAUUAACAUCUGAGGAUAGACACAGGUAAUGUAGCAUUUAGAAGCAGAUCAUUCCUCCUAGACCACUGCACAAAAUCAUCUACUAGUGCUCUGUAUUCAUCCUCCUGCCCGUCACCGACACAGCCAUGAAUUCAACCAGUGUAAAACUGUUUGACUGUUUUUUUCCCAACCCAUUUUAAAUCUGUUCCAUUUCUGCCAACUUUGUAUGAAGUCGAGGCCAAAGGCUGAACUUUCCACAGGACAGCCUUGGUAGUGCUCCAGGGCCCAAAAUAUAGGAGGGUCCCCGUGGACACGCCUUCAAACGCACCUCUCUCUCACUGUACAGAUAUAUGCACUCUAGUAUAUGUUUAAGUCAUGAUUGUGAACCAAAGCCUAACUUAAUUUAUGCAGUACACAUUUUCCUUAUAAAUCGAAUUCUAGCUGCAAGUACCGUAUUUUCUUUUUGCAUGUCCAUUGAUUUCAUAUCAAUAGGCGUGCAAACUAUUAGCGCAUAAUAUUAGUUGCACAUUCUGACCUUGCAAUUUGUCAGUUCUGAUAGAUGCUUGCAAACCUGUUGAUCCGAACUUAGCACCAAUUAGUUCAUAAUUUGUAAUACAGCACAGUGGUGUUAUAAAUUAUGCUUAGCGAGCCAAAGCACAAAAAAAGGAAAUAAAGCAAAUGGUGGUCAAAAGAGGACAGAAAGCAGGAUGAGUAAACCACCAGGACUUUGGCAGUGUAAAUGACUGUGCUUGUUUCGCACAGUGACCCCAUCCAGUCAGUUUGUGAGGACGUUUUCUCUGUUUGUCCACGCUUACAGACAUUACAGUUGUCUUCAUGUUACUUUAGCGAGGCUGAAUCUGUGCUGGGAUUGUGCUAGCCUAGUAGAAGAAGAUGGUGUGACUUUGUAGAACAAGCUUACAUAAAUGUGCCCAAACCUCAAACUGUAGUUGUUGCCAAAAGUUGGGAGGAUGAUAUUGAUAUUAUUGAUUAAUGUCUAUGAUUAUAGAUGUGUGUUUAUGUGUGUGAGAGAGAGAUAUCAAGAGAGAGACAAUGUCAACGCCAUGUUACUGGGAUAAAGUUAGUUUUUUUUGUUUUCUAUUAAAAUAAAUACAACUAAACUGGACAAAUAUGAAUUCAGUGAGGAAAGGUUACCUUCUGUUUUUCUUUGAGUUUAAUAUAUUUUGCAGUCUCCUCUUUCUACCUACUCUUCUAUCUUGAUCGUGAAUGAAUGAAUAUAAAUAAAUAGUCCACGCUUCAUGAGAUUUUUGACCAAAGCAGCACUAGAAAAGAAAGCAAGUCCUCUUUGUCCUCUAUGAAUGUGUUUCCAAUCACAUCCCAGUAAAUCCCUUUGCAAUAAUGAAUGAGAUACACGCUCAAUUCAUCUUCCCGAAAAAGCCGGGGCUGUCUAAUUUGUACAAACAUUUCUUUGGGUGGAAGCAAUUAACAGCCGUGAUGCACUAAGGUGACACUGCUGAGCUGAAUCAUACCUCAAAUGGUGAACCAAAAUAAGAACCAACGUGUUUCUCUUUAGUUAAAUUCAUUAGGGCGGAGAAGCCAUUAUCUCAGUAAACUGCCCUGGCUGAAUAAUUAAUCAUCCCAUCACUUGUUUGUUUGGUCUAAAUGUAUAACAUUUAUUCCUCGCUCCUUCCAGCCUAAUGAAAUCCUUACAUUGAUAUGAGUAAAAUGUUGGUUCUUCAUGCUCAGCCCAGCAAAGUCGUGGUGGAGGCUUGAUUUGGUUAAUGCAUAAUAAAUUACAGUUAUUAUGCACUUUUGAUAUAGAAGGUCAGAAAAUCCUUGAGGCCUUUUGGAAGUAAGAACUAAAAGUAAAAUUCUUCAUCUAAAACACACAUAUCAGGAGUACCUGUAAGUUUAUUAUUAAGUUGUGCUUUUUAAUGUAGUAACGCUACUGACACAAUCCUGCUUCUGUCAUGUGACUUAUUAGUAAAAUAAAAGUAGCAACACUGCAAUGUUAAUGUUGUAUUAAAGGUAAUAUUAAAAGGAAAUUUUACGUGGGUAAAAGGCAGAUAUGGAAAUUGUUGGCAAUGUAUUUGAAAUGAGUACUCAUGCUUAGUGUGGGAAGAUGGUUCCUGUGACUGUUACACUAUCCAGCAUACAAUGUAACAAAAAGAAUCAGAUGAAUUCAAAGUGCUUCAUUCUGCAGCUGCUCACCGUUAACGAUCGGAACACGUACCGUUAGAAAACACGGAUUCGUGAGUUUCACUUGGUUGCGGGUAGGUAGCAUAAGGACAGCAGUGCUCACAAAAGUAUGGUUAGACUGUGGUGUGAACAGUCUACACAUUGAGCAUUUGUGAUAUUGUAGGUUUUGCGUGUAAAACGCUAUAUUCAGCCAUUUUUAAAUUUACCGCAAGUUUCCAUAUUUGUUACUUGAAAAAAAGUAUCGCCUUUUGAUAUUGGAUGGUGCUCUUUGAUACACUUUCACUAUAAUCAUUCUUACUCAUGCAAUUUAUUGUUGACCUGACUGCUGAUAUAUUUUUUAAAGAGUACAAGACAUUUAUUAUUGUCUUAUUUUGCUCAGCUAGUAGCGACACAAUAUAACUAUCUACCAGUUCUUGUAGAGCACCUUUCUACUCAACCUGAGCACUCAAAGCCUUUUAUACAACAUGUCUCAUUCACCCAUUCAUAAAAGCACAAUUUUUUCUAUGUUUACAUGCUUUCUGUCUAGUAUUCACCGACAAUCACGCUGUGAUGGAUGCAUCGGAGAGCAACUUGGGCUGAGUAUGUUGUUCAAGCAUAUUUGGCGUCCGGGCUGGAGCAGCCAGGGAUCGAACCACCAACUUUCAGAUUAGCAGACGACCUGCUCGCCAUCGGCCACCACCAACUGUCUCAGUCACACUAGAUUAAAAAUAGAAGGACAACCUCAUCGCUACAAUCUGUGGUUGCCAAGUGAUUACAGUGAAUCUUUUUCCUCAUUCAUCAAUUGAUUACAAGUAAGUGGAGUGACCAACUAGCUACCUAGAGGUGGAGUAUGUAACCACUUAUGAUCGCAAGGCAAUUGCAAUGGUCACCUGGCGGGA
This 4051-nucleotide long non-coding RNA is filed under the name Oreochromis niloticus (Nile tilapia). RNAcentral's name for it is "lncRNA (ENSONIG00000022710.2)". Lineage: Eukaryota; Metazoa; Chordata; Actinopteri; Cichliformes; Cichlidae. The record is from RNAcentral.